RNAcentral lists this unclassified non-coding RNA (325 nucleotides) under fungal sp. RNAcentral's name for it is "partial internal transcribed spacer region". The stretch from base 1 to 46 matches the Rfam family "Eukaryotic small subunit ribosomal RNA", at positions 1786 to 1831 of the family's 1831-position model. The record is from RNAcentral. Lineage: Eukaryota; Fungi.
AAGUCGUAACAAGGUUUCCGUAGGUGAACCUGCGGAAGGAUCAUUAUUGAAGUUGCUGAGGGGUUGUUGCUGGCUCUCCGGAGUAUUGUGCACGCCCUUCUCACUCUACCUUCAUCCACCUGUGCACACACUGUAGAUCUCGGAUAACUCUCGGCUGGAUUUAUCUGGCCGGCUAGGACAUGCUGCUCCUCACAGGGGCUUCAGUCCAAUUUCCGGGUUUCUAUGUCCUUCUCACAUACUCUAAGUAAUGUCAUAGAAUGUAUCAUGGGUCAUUACGACCUUUAAAAUUAUAAUACAACUUUCAACAACGGAUCUCUUGGCUCUC